Molecule: ribosomal RNA, 492 nt
Filed under: uncultured bacterium
Lineage: Bacteria
Description: partial 16S ribosomal RNA
Rfam family: Bacterial small subunit ribosomal RNA
Source: RNAcentral
AGUGAACGCUGGCGGUAGGCCUAACACAUGCAAGUCGAACGGCAGCACAGUAAGAGCUUGCUCUUACGGGUGGCGAGUGGCGGACGGGUGAGGAAUACAUCGGAAUCUACUUUUUCGUGGGGGAUAACGUAGGGAAACUUACGCUAAUACCGCAUACGACCUACGGGUGAAAGCAGGGGAUCUUCGGACCUUGCGCGAUUGAAUGAGCCGAUGUCGGAUUAGCUAGUUGGCGGGGUAAAGGCCCACCAAGGCGACGAUCCGUAGCUGGUCUGAGAGGAUGAUCAGCCACACUGGAACUGAGACACGGUCCAGACUCCUACGGGAGGCAGCAGUGGGGAAUAUUGGACAAUAGGCGCAAGCCUGAUCCAGCCAUACCGCGUGGGUGAAGAAGGCCUUCGGGUUGUAAAGCCCCUUUGUUGGGAAAGAAAAGCAGCAGGUUAAUACCCCGCUGUUCUGACGGUACCCAAAGAAUAAGCACCGGCUAACUUCGUG